RNAcentral lists this transfer RNA (73 nucleotides) under Phormidesmis priestleyi. Its description in RNAcentral is "tRNA-Arg". It matches the Rfam family "tRNA". Rfam says of the family: Transfer RNA (tRNA) molecules are approximately 80 nucleotides in length. Lineage: Bacteria; Bacillati; Cyanobacteriota; Cyanophyceae; Leptolyngbyales; Leptolyngbyaceae. RNAcentral also lists the same sequence under 2 other names. The record is from RNAcentral.
GGGCUCUUAGCUCAGUGGAUAGAGCAACCGCCUUCUAAGCGGUCGGUCACUGGUUCGAGCCCAGUAGAGCCCG